GACGAACGCUGGCGGCGUGCUUAACACAUGCAAGUCGAACGGAAAGGCCCUGCUUGCAGGGUGCUCGAGUGGCGAACGGGUGAGUAACACGUGGGUGAUCUGCCCCUUACUUUGGGAUAAGCCUGGGAAACUGGGUCUAAUACUGGAUAGGACCAUGCUGUAGGUGGUGUGGUGGAAAGAUUAGUUUCGGUAAGGGAUGAGCUCGCGGCCUAUCAGCUUGUUGGUGGGGUAAUGGCCUACCAAGGCGUCGACGUGUAGCCGGCCUGAGAGGGUGGACGGCCACAUUGGGACUGAGAUACGGCCCAGACUCCUACGGGAGGCAGCAGUGGGGAAUAUUGCACAAUGGGCGCAAGCCUGAUGCAGCGACGCCGCGUGGGGGAUGACGGCCUUCGGGUUGUAAACUCCUUUCAGCCAUGACGAAGCCCUUGUGGUGACGGUAGUGGUAGAAGAAGCACCGGCUAACUACGUG
This 469-nucleotide ribosomal RNA is filed under the name uncultured bacterium. RNAcentral describes it as "partial 16S ribosomal RNA". It matches the Rfam family "Bacterial small subunit ribosomal RNA", at positions 28 to 507 of the family's 1533-position model. The record is from RNAcentral.